RNAcentral lists this long non-coding RNA (2532 nucleotides) under Homo sapiens (human). RNAcentral describes it as "HSALNT0372127". The record is from RNAcentral. Lineage: Eukaryota; Metazoa; Chordata; Mammalia; Primates; Hominidae.
CUGAGUCUGAAAGGCACUGUGGCUCAGAGAGGGCAUUUGGCUUGUACACAGCAAGCAGGGAAGUGGGAAUUUCAAAGGGGCCAAAAUGGCGAAGGAGGAACCCUGAAUCAGCUGCCAGAGCUGGGAUGCCUGUUCCUGUAAUGAUUACACUGAAAUUACUUCCAUCCAGAAUGGAAUACAUAUAUACUCUCACCAAAGAAAGGGUUUUUUUUUUUUUUUUAACGCGAGACUUGUUUUUAAAAUCAUCACUUGCUCUUUAUGAGUAUGCAGUGACAUCAUGGUGCUAGUCAUAAAAAUAUAGCGAAAGUAGGAGAGACAUAUCAUCUUUUGUCCACAGUUAGACAAACAACAAACAUUUAGAAAAUUUCAGGUUGUUGCUGUCAAGUACUAAAGCCACCAUCUGCAUAAGGCAUGGCAACCCAAGGUUAAACCCUAAAAUGGAAUCUCUCUGAGUCAGGGUCUCUGCCCACUGAACCAGCCUGAAGGUUAAGCAAGGUCAAGAAGCAGCUGCAGAGAAUGAAUCACCGGCUUCCUCCUCACCAGCAGGGGCUCCAGCCUGCUUGCCGUCUGAUUCUAUGCCUGUAUACCUGCUUUCUGGUCUCAGGCUACCUCUGCUUGCAGUGACACCUUGAACUCUCUUGACAUGAGUGUGUCUCUUUGCUGGCCCCUGUCCAAGUUUGUCCUCUGAUAUGAAGUGUGAUUCUGUCCCGGCAAAUUAACCUUUUCAGGUUUGAUUGCUGGACCCUCUUUUAUUAGGAAGUAUAUGGCCUGAAAAUGCAUGGAUUCAGGCACUUUUCAGGAUGUUGGACAGAUCUGCAGAGAUUAGAGAGCAGGUGUCCAUACUCAAGGGGACAGUUAUUUGCAGAGCUGGAUGUCCUUACUGAACUCUGGAGGGUUGGCAGCAGGUGAGGUUUGGUGGAGAGAGAUCAGGAUCAUCUAGAGUGCCUUUUAGACUCCCUGCACAUGCUCUUGGAAAUAAUGCUAUACCCUCUCCCAAACAGGGCGUAUUCAAACCCCCCACAUAGGGAAUACUGUUGAUGUGAGUCACUGUUACUCGUGACAGCUUCUUACUCCACAGAAGUGCUGAACACAGGCCCUGCAUCACCCGGCCCUCACCAAAAUUCAGUGGCAACAGAUGCCUGACACAGGAUGCAGGUGCAAGGGUGCUGAGGGUCUGUGCUUCAGUGCCUCAGCCGCUGCUGUCACUGGGAUAUGCCAGAGCCAGCUGUUCAGCAUUUUGGGCAUCACUGCUGUCUGUGCUGAAGGCCAACCUCCUCCACAGCCAUCAAAGUGAUGCUUACGAGACCCAAAGCUGAUCAAGCCAUCGACCACUUAGAUUCUGCAGGCACUCUCUGUCACGUAAGUGUAAUGCAUUAGUCUCUCAGCGUGACCAGAAGGUGUUGAUGAUGUGAUGUGUCUGUUCUUAUCUCUUAGCACUGCCUUUGCUCUGCCUCCUUUCAGAUGUAUCAAAUAUUUGAAGUUGUCUGAGCAAACCAUGGUCAGAUUGGGGGGCCUCUGUCUGCACAGGCCACUCCCUCUCCCUGGGAAGCCUCUUUGGCCUUUCUUUCCUUCCUGCUGCCCACCCUUCUCCCCAGUAACUUCCACUGUGCUGAUGGGGUUGACCACUUAGCUUCAGCCUGAACCCUUGGUCACUUCUGGUGAAGGCCUGCUCUUGAAAAAAGCACGGCCUUUUUGUCUUUACAGGCCAAACAUUGUAUGUACAACUCAGCCAUGCGGUCACCACCCAGGUGUUUUACACCUUAAGGGCACUCCAGGCCCUCUGUACAGCACACUGCAGGUAAAUCAGCUGGUGAUCAUCGAAUACACAAAUGAAUGGCAAGAACAGAAGGAACUGGCUGGUGGAACAGGCCCAACACCAUGUGGAAGUUGCCAAGGCUUGGGGCCUGCACCCUUUGAAGCAAUGGCCCAAGCUGUACCUUGGCCCCUUUCGGUCAUGGCUGUAGCUGGAGUGUCUGGGACAUGGAGCACCAAGUCCUGAGGCUGAACAGAGCAGCGGGACCUUGGGCCCGGCCCACAAAACUAUUUUUUCCUCCUAGUCCUCUGGGUCUGUGAUGAGAGAGGCUGCUGCCAAGAUCUCUGACAUGCCAUGAAGACAUUUUUUUCCCCAUCGUCUUGAUGAUUAGCAUUUGGUUCCACGUUACUUAUGCAGAUUUCUGCAGUGGCUUGAAUGUCAUCUCAGAAAAUGAGUUUUUCUUUUCUAUCACAUUGUCAGCCUGCAAAUUUUCCAAACUUUUAUAUUCUGCUUCCCUGUUAAACAUAAGUUUCUAUUUCAGAUGACCUCUCCCAGGUUCAAAGUUCCACAGAUCUCUAGGUCAGGGCCAAAAUGCCACCAGUCUCUUUGCUAAAGCAUAGCAAGAGUGACCUUUGCUCCAGUUCCCAAGAAGUUCCUCAUCUCCAUCUGAGACCAUCUCAUUCUGGAUGUCAUUGUUCACAUCAUUACCAGCAUUUUGGUCAAAACCAUUCAACAAUUUUCCAGGAAGUUCCAUACUUUCCCACAUCUUCCUGUCUUCU